GAAAUCCCAUUCAAUGGGGGACUUGGUCCCAUCAAGGCCUCAGGAGGGAAGGCUGAGCAUGGGGUUCCCACAGCCCCAGCCAGCCAGCAGCGUGCCCUGGGGCCCCUGACUCCACCUGUGGGUCAGAGUCCCUCCCCCAGGGCCCAAGUCCCAGUCCAGAGGGACCUGGCUUCAACCCGAGUCCUAGGAGGAGAGGGGCACCGCAGGCCUUCAGGUGACCACGCAGGGGACCAGGGCACUGCAAGCCCUGAUGCUGUAAGGAUUAACAUCAGAGAACCUGGGCAAGCCAGGCCAGAGUCGCUGAGCCCGUGCAGUGAUGAGAAUGUGGGGGGCUGGCUCAAGGGGGUCAACAGCUGUGAACACUGCUGCCUCUUCCCGGCCUCACUGCUGCAGUGCAGGCAGUCUGCACCCCGGAGACUGGCCCACCAGCACCCCGAGUGCCCUAGUCCGCUAUGCCAACAUGGCACCCAGAGACUUCGCAGCCCUGCCUGCCGUACCACCCCCCUCCUGGAAGCCUUGUCCUGCAACCUAGCCCCUGCCGCAGCCACAGCAGGCACCACUGCCAAGCGCCUUCCAGCCGGGCUUCCCAGAGGGCAGAGGCGCCCUGCAGUCAUUGCCUCAGCCACUCACACUGUGAAGAUAGUUUCAUCUACAUUCCCAUGUUCCCACCAAAGAGAAUCGCUGCAGAGGAUGCUCUUGAUCCUGAGGUGGGGAAAACGGCACACCAGGUGGAUGGAGUCAGCUCCUUUCCCCAGCCACCACGACUGCUGGAUGGGCCCGUGGACAAAGUGGCCAUCAGACAGGAAUGAGACCCAAGAGGCUCAGCAUCCUGCUUGUACCCUGACCAGGAUGACCAGGCCGACACCACUGCCGAGUGCCCCAUCUGCUGAGAGACUUGGUGUCGAUCCCUGGGCUGGCACUGUUUCCCAGGAGGACCGGUUGGCCACCUGUGGGCAGGCUGCCCACACUGUGGAGAGGGUUGAGAUCGGCUUUCACUGCAGAGAGCUCCUACCUGGACACAGACUCGCCGGCCCUGCCUGUUGCCAUCACAGCAGCCCACAGGGCAUUGCUUGCGACCAGGGUACCCCAUUCACAGUGAGGGACAUGGAGCCAUGGCCCUGA
Papio anubis (olive baboon) is the source of this 1122-nucleotide long non-coding RNA. The record is from Ensembl. Lineage: Eukaryota; Metazoa; Chordata; Mammalia; Primates; Cercopithecidae.